Molecule: small nucleolar RNA, 105 nt
Organism: Ricinus communis (castor bean)
Lineage: Eukaryota; Viridiplantae; Streptophyta; Magnoliopsida; Malpighiales; Euphorbiaceae
Source: RefSeq, a predicted model, not a curated record
AAACUAUGGUGUAGGCAACAUCUCAACAAGUCCUUGUACCUCUCCCACGCAUCAUACAUGCUCUCAUCAUCAAACUACUCAAAGAAGGAAAUAUCAGUACAUUUU